AGCGCCGUGAGGGCUCCGCGCAAAUCCAUCUUACUCUCAAUAGCUAAGUGACAUGAAAGCCAUAAAAGAAAAAGUGGUCAGCAAUAUUUAGCAGCACGACUUGGCCCCGGGCGCAGAGAGCCGCGCUAUAAAAAGCCGCUGGAAUUUACUGGCAGCUACAAAUAUUUGCUUAACUUGCAUCUGGAGUUGGGGUGUUUUCCGGGGAGAGAGGAGGAGAGUGAGAGGACUGAUAUUUGCCAAAAGAACCGUGACGCAGGGUGACUUCCCAUCCAGGCCCUUCUUGGACCUUCCAGCACCCAAGAAAGGCAGGUCCCAGCAGGCCACUCCCACCUCUUUGCCCCUGUUACAGAAGGUCUCCAGACCCUCCUGCCUUGGACUUUCUGAGGUCCUGUUAUUCAGGGCAACUAUCAAAUUCUACCUGCUAAAACAUGAUGGAUUAGAGAAAAAAAAAAAACCCAUCAGGAACCUGAAAAACCAGCGUCAUCUCCAUGACCACGGCUUGAACUCUCCUUCCAACUUAACGAUAAUAGGUUCUGUCUUAGAAACUGCUAUGUAAUGUGAUGUAUGGGGGUCAUUUGGCUCCGGACGAGGGAUGGAAGCACAAGCCAUAAAAUCCUGCCAGAGUUCCCUGAUCUUUGUGUGCUGUUGUUGUUGUUGAUAUUUGUUACUUGGCCUAGUUACCUGCUUCAGAAACACCAAGUAAAGGACAAACCUGGAAAUCUAAAAAGCAACUGAAAGCCUUCUCAACCUUUUUAUUUAGAAAGCAUACUGUAAAAGUGAAAUCUAUGUUUUAUUUUUGUUUUCACCUUUGCAUGGUCAACCUCUGGUUCUCACUCAGCUCAGAAAACUUUCACGUGAGUUCAAAUAGUCGCCCCGCACACACAAUCAGGAUGUUAGUCUCUCUGACCAUUUAAGAAAAUUACAAUGACAAAUUCAUGAAGAAAAGGGCUUACACUUCAUGCCUCAACUAUGUGUACUUGAGUCCUGAAGUUAUUCAAAAUUCCAGGAAUAGCAGACACUUUGUUAACUAGAAAAAAAUUAAUGUAAUAAGCAUAUAGCAGUGGAUGAUUAUAAUUUUGUUUUUAAUAAUGGACUCCUUUGGAUUUCAUUAUUAAACCAACAAUCUGACCAACAUCUGGAAAACAGGCACAAUUUAAUUUUCCAGAACCUCAAUUAAAAAUUACAGCAGCCCUUAUCCGGAGUUAUUGUAUGUGAUCUUGAGCCCUGGAGUAUUGUUUCUCUUUUGGAAAUAGAUAGGAAGCUACAGAUACCAUGAUCAAAAGUAAAUAAAGGAUAAAAUAAAAUU
This is a long non-coding RNA of Balaenoptera ricei (Rice's whale), 1306 nucleotides long. RefSeq lists it as uncharacterized. The record is from RefSeq and is a predicted model, not a curated record. NCBI's taxonomy places the organism in Eukaryota, Metazoa, Chordata, Mammalia, Artiodactyla, Balaenopteridae. The transcript is spliced from 3 exons.